UGCUCAUGCUAGGCGCGACAGCCGCCCACCUGCGUUUUUCCGAGAAAAGACUCGGUUUUCGUGUUGUGUGCGGAGAGAGUGCUACUAGCGGAUUGACGACGCUGGAUUAACACCACUAAACAACGUAAAUCGGUGUUAACGGCUCCCAUUGCGGACCCGCAUUCGUCACACAGGAGGAGUCUCCAAGAAAGCGACAGAUGAAAGAGACUCAUCGGUGUCGCUUCUGCAGUUACUCAAGUUACCACACGCCCAACGUUAAGAAGCACGAGAGGAUUCACACCGGGGAGAGGCCCUACGUGUGCAAAGUGUGCUUCAGGGGAUUUUCGGAACAGAGCAACUUGUACGGGCAUUCAAGAAGCGUUCACGAGCGUCAGAGGAGCCGCACCUACUCGGAGUGAAAAACCGGGCUUGUUGCUGUUGUCCUUGCAUGACGGACUGGCACUGGGAACGGGACAGAGAGAAGAGACGCACUUACUCAGUCUGCGGGAGUGCACUGGUACGGGAGGAUCAACCACAGCACCACUCGCAUGAGGUGUGAGCCGCCACGCCCGCACGCCCCCUGCGCCUGCUGCCGAGGAGCCUCCAGGGAGGCACCGGUGCAGUUUCUGCGAUUACUCCAGUCACUACAAGGCUCGCUCCAGAGUCCAUGAGAGAACACACAUCGGGGAGAAGGAUCGAAGGAUCGAAAGGAUUUUCGCAAAAGGUCUUCCUGGACAGACAUCUGGUAGCCAUCCACAAGGGCCAGAGGAACUUCACGUGUUCCGUCUGCGGGUGCGCGUUUUUCUCCAAGGACACCCUGGACAGACAUUCCAAAGCGGUGCACGAGGACCAGAGGAACUUCGCGUGCUCCGUCUGCGGGUGGGCGUUCCAACGGAAGGAUCAUUUACGGCGUCACCAGAGGGUGCACAUUAAAUGAUGUGGAACGGAUUGAGUCCGAGCGAGUGCACUGAUGCCUCUCUCCUCUACAUCGAGAUGUCUUCUGGCGUUGACGCCAUUGGAAGAACUUUUCUGAUUAAGCUUCCUGUUCCUAGUACCCCUUUCGUAUGGGCAUGAUCUGUCGCGUGGUCAUUGAUGAGUGCCCGUGUCACUUUUUCUGAUUAGUAUAUUCAACAGUGGUUCGCGGAACACGUCAGCGCGAUGUUCAAGAGAUAUUUGGCGGCGUCGUUUUUACAUUACUGCUUGUCACGUGUGCUCACUCGAAGAGCUCAUCCCCGCUUUGUGUGCGCAAUGUUGUGUCAGCAUCUCAACUGUACCUCCGGGUACUUCCGGGUGUGAACCGCUCUGACCGCAGCCCCGUACUUGGCGGAGCUCCAAAGAGGCACCGGUGCAGCUUCUGUCACUACUCCAGUGAUUACACGGCUAAUGUGAAAAUGCACACGAGAAUUCACACUGGAGAGAGACCUUAUGUUUGCCAAGUGUGCUUCAGGGGAUUUUCGCAGAAGGCCUCCCUGGACAGACAUUCGGAAGCAGUUCACGAGUGCCAGAGGAACUACCCGUGCUCCGUCUGUCGGUGCGCAUUUAAACAGAAGCAUCAUCUACAGCGUCACCUGAGAGUACACUUUAAAUAAGGGUGGAAGACUUACGGAUUAUGUCUGCGUGAGUGUACUGAUGCUCUCCGUUGCGCCAAAAUGUCUUCUGGUGUUGAUGUCAUUGGAAGAACUUUCUUUUUAUUAAGCUUCCUCUUCCUAAAAUUCCUGUCACGUAAUCAUUGAAGAGUGCCCAUGUCGCGUUUCUGAUUAUAUUCGACAGCGGUUCGCGAAACAAGCCUGCACGACGUUCAAUAUUUUGUUUCAUCUUUUUAACGUUACUGUCUGUCGCGUGUGCUCACUCAAACUCAUCCCCGCUUUGUGCAAUACUGUUUCAGCAUCUGAAGUGUACCGCCGGGUACCUAGAACCGGAAGUACUAAGUGUCGAGUGAACGAGGCAGUAAGACACUGAAUUAAAAAUACUGCAUUCGA
Ornithodoros turicata is the source of this 1958-nucleotide long non-coding RNA. RefSeq lists it as uncharacterized. The record is from RefSeq and is a predicted model, not a curated record. NCBI's taxonomy places the organism in Eukaryota, Metazoa, Arthropoda, Arachnida, Ixodida, Argasidae. The transcript has 4 exons.